UACGUAGGGUGCGAGCGUUAAUCGGAAUUACUGGGCGUAAAGCGUGCGCAGGCGGUUUUGUAAGCCAGAUGUGAAAUCCCCGGGCUUAACCUGGGAAUGGCAUUUGGGACUGCAAGGCUGGAGUGUGGCAGAGGAGACUGGAAUUCCUGGUGUAGCAGUGAAAUGCGUAGAUAUCAGGAGGAAUACCGAUGGCGAAGGCAGGUCUCUGGGCUGACACUGACGCUAAUGCACGAAAGCGUGGGGAGCAAACAGG
RNAcentral lists this ribosomal RNA (253 nucleotides) under uncultured bacterium. RNAcentral describes it as "partial 16S ribosomal RNA". It matches the Rfam family "Bacterial small subunit ribosomal RNA", at positions 524 to 776 of the family's 1533-position model. The record is from RNAcentral.